GUUCAACAAAGGCGGUGCUUCCUCAGGGCAGCAUGCACACUGGAGCCGCUGCUGGCUAUGAAGAGAACAAUAGUCAGACUGAAUGUUGAACAUCAGCUGCUUCCUCCUGCUGAUUUAAACCUUGGUGGACAGAUGGAACAUUGGCUGUGGAUUAUUCUGGCUGCUCUUUUCUCUGAGUGUAAAGGAGACUCAGUGAAGCAGACAGAAGGAGAAGUUGUUGCUGCUGCAGGAGAAUCACUGACUCUAAGAUGUACCUUUGAAACAUCCUAUACGACGCCCACAUUGUUCUGGUAUAAGCAAGAAGUAAACAGUUUCCCAAAGUUCAUGCUGAAGCAGAUGUCAUCAACAAAAGACAAAGCUCCAGAGAUCAACAACAACAGAUUUGAUGCUAACCUCAAUAAAUCCAACAAAUCCUUCAACCUGAAGAUCCAGGAUCUCCGUCUGUCAGACUCUGCUGUGUACUACUGCGCUCUGCAGCCCACAGUGACAGGAAACACCAGAACCUUAUACAAAAACCUGCAGUACUCCACAGCAGCCACUAGAGGGCAGCAGCAUCUUCACCUGGUUCCUCUCCAACAGUUCAAAGUGGGAGAAGUCAGAGGAAACCAGUGGAACCAGUUAGGAAACCCACUGGGUUAAAUAGCUCUCCAAUAAAAGCAAAAGUAUUUCU
Xiphophorus couchianus (Monterrey platyfish) is the source of this 670-nucleotide non-coding RNA. The record is from the annotation of a RefSeq genome assembly. NCBI's taxonomy places the organism in Eukaryota, Metazoa, Chordata, Actinopteri, Cyprinodontiformes, Poeciliidae.